Molecule: small nucleolar RNA, 70 nt
Organism: Lottia gigantea (owl limpet)
Lineage: Eukaryota; Metazoa; Mollusca; Gastropoda; Lottiidae
Source: Rfam
UAGCUAUGAUGAGUUUAUAUUUUAACCUGAUUUCUAUGAAGGUUUUUAGAGCUUUUUAACCCUGAGUUAG